GACGAACGCUGGCGGCGUGCUUAACACAUGCAAGUCGAACGGAAAGGCCCUGCUUUUGUGGGGUGCUCGAGUGGCGAACGGGUGAGUAACACGUGAGUAACCUGCCCUUGACUUUGGGAUAACUUAAGGAAACUGGGGCUAAUACCGGAUAGGAGCUCCUGCUGCAUGGAGGGGGUUGGAAAGUUUCGGCGGUUGGGGAUGGACUCGCGGCUUAUCAGCUUGUUGGUGGGGUAGUGGCUUACCAAGGCUUUGACGGGUAGCCGGCCUGAGAGGGUGACCGGCCACAUUGGGACUGAGAUACGGCCCAGACUCCUACGGGAGGCAGCAGUGGGGAAUAUUGCACAAUGGGCGGAAGCCUGAUGCAGCAACGCCGCGUGCGGGAUGACGGCCUUCGGGUUGUAAACCGCUUUCGCCUGUGACGAAGCGUGAGUGACGGUAAUGGGUAAAGAAGCACCGGCUAACUACGUG
Molecule: ribosomal RNA, 468 nt
Filed under: uncultured bacterium
Lineage: Bacteria
Description: partial 16S ribosomal RNA
Rfam family: Bacterial small subunit ribosomal RNA
Source: RNAcentral